Camellia sinensis is the source of this 760-nucleotide long non-coding RNA. RefSeq lists it as uncharacterized. Lineage: Eukaryota; Viridiplantae; Streptophyta; Magnoliopsida; Ericales; Theaceae. The record is from RefSeq and is a predicted model, not a curated record.
CCCAAGCAAAAACCUCAUACUGGGCCUUAAACCCUAAAAAAAUACACAGCAAAUGCGAUUUACAAAUUUCUCUCUCUAUCUCUCUCGCUCGCUCUCUCUCUCUUAAAUGUUCAGUCGGAGGAGGUUUCUGUCGUUGCCCAUGGUUGUUGGAGCAGUCAUAAUUGGAGUUGUUUCUGGGAAAGCAAUAUUUGGACCCCCACUAGAAGAAUAUUGGAAAAAGAAGCUUGAGGAAGAGGCAGCAGUAAAGGAAACUGACUCAAACUCCACUUGAAAACAGAUUUUGUCCAACGAAUUCCUCAAAGCAUAUGUUUGUUUCGGGAGAAGUGGGUGACUAACAGGAUCAUACAUUUGUUUACUCGAGUUUGUACUCCAAGGAAGCUUGUACUAUCAAUAUGUAAGUCUGGAUUUUCGCAAUGGUGAAGUCGUGGUGAACUGCAAUUGGGUCUUCGGCUAACAUCAGUGAAGGGAUAAAAUAAACCAAAUCUGAUUGUUUCCGGGUGAAGUAUGUAGGAACAUAUAUGAACAACGUCCAAGGCAGUGUUGUUUCUGGAACUUGCUAACAUUGUCAGUAUAAUGCUUUUAAGUUGAAUUUAGCACCUUAUUUUAUUACUUUUUUGCGAGGCAAAGACUUGCGAAGAUUGCAUGUGCCUUGUAUAUGGGAAAAUUAUAUCAGUGCCUUGACUGUUUUGAAUAAGAACAUGGCUUUUAGUUUGCCAACCUGACUUAUUUCAAAUAAAAAUCAGGCAUACCAUUCUUGCUA